This 425-nucleotide ribosomal RNA is filed under the name uncultured bacterium. RNAcentral's name for it is "partial 16S ribosomal RNA". It matches the Rfam family "Bacterial small subunit ribosomal RNA", at positions 354 to 796 of the family's 1533-position model. The record is from RNAcentral.
GUGGGGAAUAUUGGACAAUGGGCGAAAGCCUGAUCCAGCCAUGCCGCGUGAGUGAUGAAGGCCUUAGGGUUGUAAAGCUCUUUCAGUAGGGAAGAUAAUGACGGUACCUACAGAAGAAGCCCCGGCUAACUUCGUGCCAGCAGCCGCGGUAAUACGAAGGGGGCUAGCGUUGUUCGGAUUUACUGGGCGAAAAGCGCACGUAGGCGGUUUGGUCAAUUAGAGGUGAAAUCCUGGAGCUCAACUCCAGAACUGCCUUUAAUACUGCCAGUCUAGAGUCCAGAAGAGGUGAGUGGAACUCCUAGUGUAGAGGUGGAAUUCGUAGAUAUUAGGAAGAACACCAGUGGCGAAGGCGGCUAACUGGUCUGGUACUGACGCUGAGGUGCGAAAGCGUGGGGAGCAAACAGGAUUAGAUACCCGAGUAGUCC